AGGGUUCACUUGCAGACAGCAGAGUCUGCCCCGGCUAGUUACACAGAGGAGGAUUGAUUACCGGCUUUCAGUGACUCCCAGCAUCACUGCGGGGAGCGGGGGGUGCUGAAGAAAUUGAAGACACUCCAGGCUGCCUCCCAAAGCCACACAGCAGAAAGGGGCCACCGAGAAGCUGAGAUUCUGUCGUCACCGGAGAACCGCCUGCCUGCAGGCCAGCCCUGCAUGUGUGACUGUUGCUGCUGCGUGCACACCCGCUCAGUGCUGCCCUUCAUCCCACUUCCCCUCCCCAGCACAGGAAGGCGCCCCAGAGAGAGGCUGGAAUACACACUGUGUGAGCCAGUCUGCAGACUCUGCCAGAUGCCUAUGGAGACAUCCUUGUGAAAUUAGAAUAGCUCUUCUCAGUUUAUUUAUGGAAUCUUCUUGAAGAUCAAAGAUAAAGCACCGCUGUUGGUUUUGGUUUCCCCUAUUAUGACGGAGUCUGAAUGAAAGGUGGAAUAACCCUAAGAUCAUAAUGCUGUUGAUUUAAUGUUGGAAGCUCCUCCGAGGAAGGGACCAUGCCAAGAAUUUAUUUGCAUUUUACACAAAGGCUGUCAAAUGGGGCCAUCCUAGUGCCUGCGUGAUAGGGCAGCUGUCCUUGAAAUGAAGUAAUCACUCAAGCCCUUGUUGAAUGUGCACAAGAAUGAAUGAAUCAAUCAAUAAAUGAACCAAUGAUGCUCU
Molecule: non-coding RNA, 717 nt
Filed under: Pan troglodytes (chimpanzee)
Lineage: Eukaryota; Metazoa; Chordata; Mammalia; Primates; Hominidae
Source: RNAcentral